Pelobates cultripes (western spadefoot toad) is the source of this 78-nucleotide non-coding RNA. NCBI's taxonomy places the organism in Eukaryota, Metazoa, Chordata, Amphibia, Anura, Pelobatidae. The record is from the annotation of a GenBank genome assembly.
UGUGUGUGUAUGCAUGUGUGUGUGUGUGUAUGUAUAUAUAUAUAUAUAUACACACAUACACACACACACACACACACA